RNAcentral lists this ribosomal RNA (465 nucleotides) under uncultured bacterium. RNAcentral describes it as "partial 16S ribosomal RNA". It matches the Rfam family "Bacterial small subunit ribosomal RNA", at positions 339 to 795 of the family's 1533-position model. The record is from RNAcentral.
CUACGGGGUGCUGCAGUGAGGAAUUUUGCGCAAUGGGGGAAACCCUGACGCAGCAACGCCGCGUGAGUGAAGAAGGCCCUUGGGUCGUAAAGCUCUGUCAAUGGGGAAGAAGUUAUUAUGUGUUAAUAGCACAUUUUAUUGACGGUACCCAUGAAGGAAGCACCGGCUAACUCCGUGCCAGCAGCCGCGGUAAUACGGGGGGUGCAAGCGUUAUUCGGAAUUAUUGGGCGUAAAGGGCACGCAGGCGGUCCUGUCAGUCAGAUGUGAAAGCCCGGGGCUCAACCCCGGACGUGCAUUUGAAACAGCAGGACUUGAGUACGGGAGAGGAAAGGGGAAUUCCUGGUGUAGAGGUGAAAUUCGUAGAUAUCAGGAGGAACACCGGUGGCGAAGGCGCCUUUCUGGACCGAUACUGACGCUGAGGUGCGAAGGCGUGGGUAGCGAACGGGAUUAGAUACCCUGGUAGUC